Molecule: non-coding RNA, 22 nt
Filed under: Rattus norvegicus (Norway rat)
Lineage: Eukaryota; Metazoa; Chordata; Mammalia; Rodentia; Muridae
Source: RNAcentral
UGCAGGUUAUUUACAGGAGCAA